This 368-nucleotide long non-coding RNA is filed under the name Rattus norvegicus (Norway rat). RNAcentral's name for it is "long non-coding RNA NONRATT012221". Lineage: Eukaryota; Metazoa; Chordata; Mammalia; Rodentia; Muridae. The record is from RNAcentral.
GCCCCGUACCACCCACUGCCCGACCCUACUUGCCCUUGGGGUUCGGAGACGAGGUGGCUCAGAAUCAACAGCACAGACUCCAGGAGCAGGCGAGAAACACCGCAUUCCCUAAUGACUGGGGCGCUCUGUAUCUCUCCCUGAGCUUCCUGGUCCUUUCACAUCAUCUUUGGAACAACGUCUGUUCAAAUACGUUGCUUAGGUCUGAACUGAGUGUCUGCUCUUUCAUUAUUGAGCUUUCAACCUCUGUUCUCCGGAUUGUCUUCCUAGAGAUGAUUCUGAGAAGCUAGGCUUCCCUACUUCAGUCCUGGCACUGGGAUGACAUACACCCUCACUGAUUUGCAUAAUAAUAAAGUCAACAUUUAUUGAGU